This is a long non-coding RNA of Hemicordylus capensis (graceful crag lizard), 180 nucleotides long. RefSeq lists it as uncharacterized. The transcript is spliced from 3 exons. Lineage: Eukaryota; Metazoa; Chordata; Lepidosauria; Squamata; Cordylidae. The record is from RefSeq and is a predicted model, not a curated record.
AGCACCUGUGACGUUUCACAUUGAAUGUGAGAUGCGGACCAGGCAGCCAGGACCUGUCCACGUCCCAGAGCCUCAGCUUCCUCCAGGAAUGGGAGGUUUUAUUCGAAAACCUCCCCAUCACAGGCUGAGACCAAAACCUGUUCAAGAGCCUCGGCACGCCCCAGAACCUCCCCAAGAUUG